Molecule: ribosomal RNA, 852 nt
Filed under: Vibrio sp. PKP4
Lineage: Bacteria; Pseudomonadati; Pseudomonadota; Gammaproteobacteria; Vibrionales; Vibrionaceae
Description: bacterial SSU rRNA
Rfam family: Bacterial small subunit ribosomal RNA
Source: RNAcentral
GGGCUCAACCUCGGAAUAGCAUUUGAAACUGGCAUACUAGAGUACUGUAGAGGGGGGUAGAAUUUCAGGUGUAGCGGUGAAAUGCGUUGAGAUCCGAAGGGAUACCGGCGGCGAAGGCCGCCCCCUCGUCAGAUACUGACACUCAGAUGCGAAAGCGUGGGGAGCAAACAGGAUUAGAUACCCUGGUAGUCCACGCCGUAAACGAUGUCUACUUGGAGGUUCUGGCCUCGAGCCGUGGCUUUCGGAGCUAACGCGUUAAGUAGACCGCCUGGGGAGUACGGUCGCAAGAUUAAUACUCAAAUGAAUUGACGGGCGCCCGCACAAGCGGCGGAGCAUGUGGUUUAAUUCGAUGCCACGCGAAGAACCUUACGUACUCUUCACAUCCAGAGAACUUUCCAGAGAUGGAUUGGAGCCUUCGGGAACUCUGAGACAGGUGCUGCAUGGCUGUCGUCAGCUCGUGUUGUGAAAUGCUGGGGUAAGUCCCGCAACGAGCGCAACCCUUAUCCUUGUUUGCCAGCACUUCGGGUGGGAACUCCAGGGAGACUGCCGGUGAUAAACCGGAGGAAGGUGGGGACGACGUCAAGUCAUCAUGGCCCUUACGAGUAGGGCUACACACGUGCUACAAUGGCGCAUACAGAGGGCGGCCAACUUUCGAGAGUGAGCGAAUCCCAAAAAGUGAGUCGUAGUCCGGAUCGGAGUCUGCAACUCGACUCCGUGAAGUCGGAAUCGUUAGUAAUCGUGGAUCAGAAUGCCACGGUGAAUACGUUCCCGGCCCUUGUACACACCGCCCGUCACACCAUGGGAGUGGGCUGCAAAAGAAGUAGGUAGUUUAACCUUCGGGAGGACGCUUAC